GACGAACGCUGGCGGCGUGCUUAACACAUGCAAGUCGAACGAUGACGACCGAGCUUGCUCGGUCUGAUUAGUGGCGAACGGGUGAGUAACACGUGAGCAACCUGCCCUUCACUCUGGGAUAACCUCGGGAAAUCGGGGCUAAUACCGGAUAUGAGCUCCUGUCGCAUGGCGGGUGUUGGAAAGUUUUUCGGUGAAGGAUGGGCUCGCGGCCUAUCAGUUUGUUGGUGAGGUAGUGGCUCACCAAGGCGAUGACGGGUAGCCGGCCUGAGAGGGCGACCGGCCACACUGGGACUGAGACACGGCCCAGACUCCUACGGGAGGCAGCAGUGGGGAAUAUUGCACAAUGGGCGAAAGCCUGAUGCAGCGACGCCGCGUGAGGGAUGACGGCCUUCGGGUUGUAAACCUCUUUCAGCAGGGAAGAAGCGAAAGUGACAGUACCUGCAGAAGAAGCGCCGGCUAACUACGUG
This 467-nucleotide ribosomal RNA is filed under the name uncultured bacterium. RNAcentral describes it as "partial 16S ribosomal RNA". It matches the Rfam family "Bacterial small subunit ribosomal RNA", at positions 28 to 507 of the family's 1533-position model. The record is from RNAcentral.